RNAcentral lists this ribosomal RNA (274 nucleotides) under uncultured bacterium. Its description in RNAcentral is "partial 16S ribosomal RNA". It matches the Rfam family "Bacterial small subunit ribosomal RNA", at positions 523 to 796 of the family's 1533-position model. The record is from RNAcentral.
AUACGGAGGGUGCAAGCGUUAUUCGGAAUCACUGGGCGUAAAGGACGCGUAGGCGGGUUGGCAAGUCAGAUGUGAAAUCCUACAGCUUAACUGUAGAACUGCAUUUGAAACUGCUAACCUCGAGUAUGGGAGGGGGAGAUGGAAUUAGUGGUGUAGGGGUAAAAUCCGUAGAUAUCACUAGGAAUACCGAAAGCGAAGGCGAUCUCCUGGAACAUAACUGACGCUAAGGCGUGAAAGCGUGGGGAGCAAACAGGAUUAGAAACCCUUGUAGUCC